This 729-nucleotide ribosomal RNA is filed under the name uncultured archaeon. Its description in RNAcentral is "bacterial SSU rRNA". It matches the Rfam family "Archaeal small subunit ribosomal RNA", at positions 141 to 874 of the family's 1478-position model. The record is from RNAcentral.
UGGGUAUAAUCCCCGAUAGAUCUCGGUCGCUGGAAAGCCCCGAGAUCGAAAGCUCCGGCGCCAGAGGAUGGGUCUGCGGCCUAUCAGGUAGUAGUGGGUGUAGCGUACCUACUAGCCUACGACGGGUACGGGUUGUGAGAGCAAGAGCCCGGAGAUGGAUUCUGAGACACGAAUCCAGGCCCUACGGGGUGCAGCAGGCGCGAAAACUUUACAAUGCCGGCAACGGCGAUAAGGGGACCUCGAGUGCCAGGUUACAAAUCUGGCUGUCGUGAUGCCUAAAAAGCAUUGCAUAGCAAGGGCCGGGCAAGACCGGUGCCAGCCGCCGCGGUAACACCGGCGGCUCGAGUGGUAACCGUUAUUAUUGGGUCUAAAGGGUCUGUAGCCGGCCGGAUAAGUCUCUUGAGAAAUCCGGCAGCUCAACUGUUGGGCUUUCAGGAGAUACUGUCUGGCUCGAGGCCGGGAGAGGUGAGAGGUACUUCAGGGGUAGGGGUGAAAUCUUGUAAUCCUUGAAGGACCACCAGUGGCGAAGCGUCUCACCAGAACGGACCUGACGGCAAGGGACGAAGCUAGGGCACGAACCGGAUUAGAUACCCGGGUAGUCCUAGCCGUAAACGAUACUCGCUAGGUGUCGGCCACGGUGCGACCGUUGUCGGUGCCGUAGGGAAGCCGUGAAGCGAGCCACCUGGGAAGUACGGCCGCAAGGCUGAAACUUAAAGGAAUUGGCGGGGG